RNAcentral lists this ribosomal RNA (253 nucleotides) under uncultured bacterium. RNAcentral describes it as "partial 16S ribosomal RNA". It matches the Rfam family "Bacterial small subunit ribosomal RNA", at positions 524 to 776 of the family's 1533-position model. The record is from RNAcentral.
UACAGAGGUCUCGAGCGUUAGGCGGAAUCACUGGGCUUAAAGCGUGUGUAGGCGGCGGGCUAAGUACCUUGUGAAAUCCCACGGCUUAACUGUGGAACUGCUGGGUAUACUGGUUCGCUUGAGCGGUCUAGGGGCGAGCGGAACAAAUGGUGGAGCGGUGAAAUGCGUAGAUAUCAGGAGGAACACCGGUGGCGAAGGCGGGACUCUGGGCCGAUACUGACGCUGAGGAGCGAAAGCGUGGGGAGCGAACAGG